AAGAGAGGCAAGAAAGGAAAAGGAGGGGAAAGGUGAGAAGGAGGAGGAGGAAGCCCGCGAGAAAGUCAAUAUCAUAUGUAGUAUGUUGAAUUUUUAUUUUGUGUUUGUUUUUGUGUUUUUCCUUCUGCUUCGCAUCUUAUAU
RNAcentral lists this non-coding RNA (142 nucleotides) under Palpitomonas bilix. The record is from RNAcentral.